UACGUAGGGUGCAAGCGUUACUCGGAAUUACUGGGCGUAAAGCGCACGCAGGUGGCUGAGUCAGUCGAUUGUGAAAGCCCUGGGCUUAACCUGGGAAUUGCAGUCGAUACUACUCAGCUAGAGUAUGGGAGAGGGUAGUGGAAUUCCCGGUGUAGCGGUGAAAUGCGUAGAUAUCGGGAGGAACAUCAGUGGCGAAGGCGGCUACCUGGACAAUUGCUGACGCUCAGGCACGAAAGCGUGGGGAGCAAAAGGG
This 253-nucleotide ribosomal RNA is filed under the name uncultured bacterium. RNAcentral describes it as "partial 16S ribosomal RNA". It matches the Rfam family "Bacterial small subunit ribosomal RNA", at positions 524 to 776 of the family's 1533-position model. The record is from RNAcentral.